UGGGGAAUAUUGCACAAUGGGCGCAAGCCUGAUGCAGCCAUGCCGCGUGUAUGAAGAAGGCCUUCGGGUUGUAAAGUACUUUCAGUCGGGAGGAAGGUGGUAAGGUUAAUAACCUUAUCAAUUGACGUUACCGACAGAAGAAGCACCGGCUAACUCCGCGCCAGCAGCCGCGGUAAUACGGAGGGUGCAAGCGUUAAUCGGAAUUACUGGGCGUAAAGCGCACGCAGGCGGUUGAUUGAGUCAGAUGUGAAAUCCCCGGGCUUAACCCGGGAAUUGCAUCUGAUACUGGUCAGCUAGAGUCUUGUAGAGGGGGGUAGAAUUCCAUGUGUAGCGGUGAAAUGCGUAGAGAUGUGGAGGAAUACCGGUGGCGAAGGCGGCCCCCUGGACAAAGACUGACGCUCAGGUGCGAAAGCGUGGGGAGCAAACAGG
RNAcentral lists this ribosomal RNA (429 nucleotides) under Chloroflexota bacterium. Its description in RNAcentral is "Chloroflexi bacterium partial 16S ribosomal RNA". It matches the Rfam family "Bacterial small subunit ribosomal RNA", at positions 355 to 776 of the family's 1533-position model. The record is from RNAcentral. Lineage: Bacteria; Bacillati; Chloroflexota.